This 947-nucleotide long non-coding RNA is filed under the name Capsella rubella. Its description in RNAcentral is "long non-coding RNA (CRUB_LNC001049)". Lineage: Eukaryota; Viridiplantae; Streptophyta; Magnoliopsida; Brassicales; Brassicaceae. The record is from RNAcentral.
GAAUUUCUAUAUAUCAAAGAUAGCGUUUUGAGAAACCCAGUUUUUACUAUUCUGAUCUAGUUCAAUCCGUAAGACUCUUGCUUUUACAACAUGGCCCCAAACUUAUCCAACCUUUUCAUCUAAAGUGUUUAAUUAUCACAUUUAGUUUGGCUAACUAUAUUUAUGAUUUCUUCUUCUUCUUCUUCUUUGUUGAGAAGAGAUCACAACAAUCAUGUGAUUAAGAUGAUGAUGUUCACUUUGUAUACGUAGCUAAAAAUAGAAAUGCCUUUUUAGUCUAGAAAAACAUACAACAUUUAAUUUGUUUUUAUAUAUGAUAAAAUUAAAUUAAAAAAAAAAGAAAAAAAAACAAGUCACGUGGGAGUUGGAAGAGAGUAUCUCCUCUUCAUAAAUUAAGGUAUCAGAAAACUCAUUACUCCAAUUAUUAAUAAAUUUAAGCCCGUUUCACAAGCAUAGAAUCUUCUUCUAUUUCGUUUAAUAUUUAAGAAUCCUAAGUCUUAUAGUAAACUUGUAAAAAUUGUGUUAACAAAAACGGAACCUUGUUUGUUCCUUAAAAGUUUGAUUUAGACGGGAAACUGAGUUCUUUUCACUGUGUCCAUGUGCUUUACUAAGUGUCGGUGAAGACAAAGCAAAUGCUUGAAAAACGCAUGAAUGCGUGAUCGUUACGGUCAGCUAAAACCGGAGAUGAGGCCUGAAACUGGUGGCGCAGGGACCAAGUUAUCAAAUAUACGUACAUUAUACAUACCACGUGGACGGUUGUGAUCUGUUUUCAGUUUCUCCACCGACAAUCGGUCGGUCCUUGUACUAGCUGGAAUAGUAGUAAACUAGUACUGUCUGAGAGUAAAGUAAACUGUAGUUGUCUGAAGCUCUGACGAAACGGUUUGUUGUCCCUUGUCACUUACGAUACGAUAUGGUAGUUUCUUUCGUACUAUCUUAGAGUAUUACACGAU